UCUGACUCAGCGCUGGAAGCGGAGAGGAUGGCCCAAAAAGACCGCGCAGGGCUCCCCCUCCUGUCCACAGGGUCACUAGGAGUCGGAAUCCACUCAACAGCAUGCACAACAACGUAGAACUGCGGAAAGAUGAAAUAAUCUACUUCAGGUCAUGGACUUGAACUAAACGGAACCACAAGCUAAAAGUAUAGUAAAUACCAGUGAAUCGUGAAUUGAAUAUGAACACCCGUGUUGGGCUGACCUGUGAACCAAACACCGUGUGCAAGUUUGAAAGCACGGCCUGGCUCGGGAGACAGUGCUGCCAGGAGGGCAGGAGUGCUGUCUUGGCCAUCAGGCUUUCCAGGGGGAAUCCAAGAUAGGAGUUUGGUCCAGAUAGAUCACGCAGCAAAGAAGAUAGAAAACAAUGUUACAUUUCAAGAAGAGGAAGUUCAUGAGUCAAGGGAGGAAACAAACAUUUGAGUGUGGAGCAUAAACUGCCUGUGCCCUGGAAGGUUCGGCUGUGUGAUGUGGACUUCACGGACAGGAGCAAAGCUAAGGAAGGGCUCGACGGGACGCUGCUGCGAUUCUAGGAAAGGAUGUGGUCGUGGUGAUCACGGCGGGAAGCCGUGGACUGAGUACACUGUGUCUUUUCAGAUAGGACUUUUUCUGUGAGGGCAUCGGAGGGUUGGUGGUGGUGGUAUCUGGUUUGAAGAAAAAUGCUUUUCUUGUGGUCCAAUGGGGUCAAAGUUUAAAUGUGGAGCCUGGGUGACGCUUGUUUGUCUGUCUUCCCAGCAAAGCAGUGGAGUGGCGUGGAGUGGGUAGGCUCUUGGUUAGUUCACAUUUGAUGAGUUAAUACGCCUCUCUACAUAUCAGUUCCCUCUUCUGUAAAAUUGAGAUGAUAAGAGUAUUGUCCUCAAAAGUUUGUACUGGCGACUAAAUAACAUUUAUGUAGCAAUUAGAGAGGUAGUACAGAACACAAAGACUCCUUGGGUUGAAUCUUGGCUCCCCACUUGCUCAACGGAGCCUUGGGCAAAUUACCUCUCUAUGCUCCUGUUUAACAGAAAUAAUGGUACCUACCUCAUAGAUUUAUUGUGAGGAUUAAAUGAGUUAACUUAUGUAAAUCACUUAGAACAGUGUUUGAUAUAUAAUAAUCACUCAAUAAACAUUGGCUAAUAAUAUAAGGCACCACGUAUAGUAAAUAUUCAAUGUAAGAGUCUGCGCUUGUUCAGCUCUAAAGGCAAGGACCAUAUCUGUUUUAUUUACCUCCACCUUUUGUCACUUAGUAGGUGCUCACGUUUUUCUUGAAUGAGUGGGUCAUUUCCAGUCAAUACAAUUGCAUUCAAUUCCUCAAAAAUUAUCCUAGUGAGAGUAUCUGCAUUUGUAUGAUCAGAUUGAUUUAGUUUCAUUUAUAUUAUACCUAUCAUACAUAGAUACUUCACAGUACUCUCUACCACUUUCAAAGAUUUCUUUUUCAUUUUAAUCUUGUGGAGCUUAAAAACAGGAAGAACCCUCGAAUAACUUAGGUGUUAUUGCUUCUCCUCUUAAUUCUUUCAAAUUGUGUUCAAUGUGAAGAGGAAAAUAGAAUGGUGAAAUGUGAAACUUUGCAAUUUCAAGUUACUCUUUUAUUGCUUAGUUGUGAUUUAAACAUUGAUGUCUGGAAAUUUUUAACAUGAAAUCACAAAUGUACUAUUGCUUCUUAGAAUUCUAACAGUACGACUUAGCU
Equus asinus (donkey) is the source of this 1702-nucleotide long non-coding RNA. Lineage: Eukaryota; Metazoa; Chordata; Mammalia; Perissodactyla; Equidae. The record is from Ensembl.